Equus caballus (horse) is the source of this 86-nucleotide non-coding RNA. Lineage: Eukaryota; Metazoa; Chordata; Mammalia; Perissodactyla; Equidae. The record is from Rfam.
AUGUGUGCAGUGUCCUGCUGAGAAAUGUACUGAUCACUUAGACUACAUGUAUUUGGUGCCUUUCUGGGUAGAGUGAUGCUCAACAG